RNAcentral lists this ribosomal RNA (403 nucleotides) under uncultured bacterium. RNAcentral's name for it is "partial 16S ribosomal RNA". It matches the Rfam family "Bacterial small subunit ribosomal RNA", at positions 30 to 526 of the family's 1533-position model. The record is from RNAcentral.
AUUGAACGCUGGCGGCAGGCUUAACACAUGCAAGUCGAGCGAUCGGCGCACGGGUGAGUAAUGUAUGGGGACUGCCCGAUAGAGGGGGAUAACUACUGGAAACGGUAGCUAAUACCGCAUACUAUCCGAUAACCCAUAUGGGAUUAGCUAGUAGGUUAGGUAAUGGCUCACCUAGGCGACGAACCCUAGCUGGUCUGAGAGGAUGAUCAGCCACACUGGGACUGGGACGCGGCCCAGACUCCUACGGAGGCAGCAGUGGAGAAUAUUGCACAGUGGGCGCAAGCCUUAUGCAGCCAUGCCGCGUGUAUGAAGAAGGCCCUAGGGUUGUAAAGUACUUUCAGUCGGGGGGCGUUACCGACAGAAGAAGCACCGGCUAACUCCGUGCCAGCAGCCGCGGUAAUUC